GAUGAACGCUGGCGGCGUGCCUAAUACAUGCAAGUCGAGCGAACAGAUAAGGAGCUUGCUCCUUUGACGUUAGCGGCGGACGGGUGAGUAACACGUGGGUAACCUACCUAUAAGACUGGGAUAACUUCGGGAAACCGGAGCUAUACCGGAUAAUAUUUCGAACCGCAUGGUUCGAUAGUGAGAGAUGGUUUUGCUAUCACUUAUAGAUGGACCCGCGCCGUAUUAGCUAGUUGGUAAGGUAACGGCUUACCAAGGCGACGAUAAGUAGCCGACCUGAGAGGGUGAACGGCCACACUGGAACUGAGACACGGUCCAGACUCCUACGGGAGGCAGCAGUAGGGAAUCUUCCGCAAUGGGCGAAAGCCUGACGGAGCAACGCCGCGUGAGUGAUGAAGGUCUUCGGAUCGUAAAACUCUGUUAUUAGGGAAGAACAUACGUGUAAGUAACUGUGCACGUCUUGACGGUACCUAAUCAGAAAGCCACGGCUAACUACGUG
Molecule: ribosomal RNA, 496 nt
Filed under: uncultured bacterium
Lineage: Bacteria
Description: partial 16S ribosomal RNA
Rfam family: Bacterial small subunit ribosomal RNA
Source: RNAcentral